GAUAAACGCUGGCGGCGUGCCUAACACAUGCAAGUCGAACGAUCCCGCAAGGGAGAGUGGCGGAAGGGUGAGUAACACGUGGGAAUCUACCUCCUCGCAGGGAACAACCUCUCGAAAGAGAGGCUAAUACCCAAAAGGGUCAGAAAUGAUCAGAGUCGAAAGGCGUGAGGAGAGGAGCCCGCGGCCCAUCAGCUAGUUGGUGAGGUAAUGGCUUACCAAGGCAACGACGGGUAGGGGAUCUGAGAGGAUGUCCCCCACACUGGAACUGAAACACGGUCCAGACGCCUACGGGUGGCAGCAGUGAGGAAUAUUGGACAAUGGGCGAAAGCCCGAUCCAGCAACGCCGCGUGGAGGAUGAAGGCCUUCGGGUCGUAAACUUCUUUAGAGGGAGACGAGAAAGGACGGUAUCCCUAGAAUAAGCGACGGCAAACUACGUG
Molecule: ribosomal RNA, 437 nt
Filed under: uncultured organism
Description: bacterial SSU rRNA
Rfam family: Bacterial small subunit ribosomal RNA
Source: RNAcentral